UAGGGAAUAUUGCCCAAUGGGCGAAAGCCUGAGGCAGCGACACCGCGUGGGUGAUGAAGGUAUUAUGUAUCGUAAAGCCUUGUCGUGAGGGAAGAAGGAGUAAUCUGACGU
RNAcentral lists this ribosomal RNA (111 nucleotides) under uncultured bacterium. RNAcentral describes it as "partial 16S ribosomal RNA". It matches the Rfam family "Bacterial small subunit ribosomal RNA", at positions 355 to 464 of the family's 1533-position model. The record is from RNAcentral.